This 2939-nucleotide long non-coding RNA is filed under the name Heterocephalus glaber (naked mole-rat). RNAcentral's name for it is "lncRNA (ENSHGLG00100038115.1)". Lineage: Eukaryota; Metazoa; Chordata; Mammalia; Rodentia; Bathyergidae. The record is from RNAcentral.
UCAUGCUUCACUUUUAAAAAUUUGUAUUUUAACACUACUAUUGAAAGAAACAAACACCUUAAAUAGAGGUUAUCAUUAUGUGGUCUCAUUUUUAAUAGGAAUAAGAAUGAAAGUUUCUAUUUUGCUGACUCCUAUUUCUUUAAAAUAUUCAAUGAUUUCUGUUUGGGUUAUGCAGACGUUUAAUUGAGAUCUGGCUGAAGCAAUGUAUAGGAAGGACCUUCACCCUUAAUAAAAACACCUAGAGUUAAAACUACUUUCAAAAGUAGUAAAAACUGCAGAAGAAUACAUAGUAAAAGCUUGGAUUGCAAGUAACUUGUUCUGCAAGAUGAGCAAACAUUUCUAGUAAGUUUUAACUUGAUAAAUGAGUGAUGUUUGAAAUAUGAGUACAUGAUCACAACUGAGCCAGUGGUUCCCCCACCUCGCCUCAAGAUUGUCCCCCAAUGGGCUAGGGAUUUAGCUCAGUGGUGCCACCGCCUGCCUCAAAAGUGCAAGGUCCUGAGUUCAAUCCCUGGUACCAAAAAAAAGAUUGUCCCCCCAGCAGCAAGAGGUUAUGGAGAAGAUCUCAUCUGCAGAGGAGUAGAAAAAAGCAGAGAAAUCCCUCAGUUCAAAUGAGAUUAGGGAGAUGUGUAAAAUGUGGGAGACUGCAUCAAGUUUUGUAGAAAAGCACCACCCGUACAAGGCUGCAAGCGAUGAACUUGUUCAAUCACAAUGCAAUGUCACAUUUUUGAGAAGUCCUCUACAGGAGGCAAAAGCAAGUGUCAUUGGAGAGAUUCCUUGUUUCAGCUGCAUGAAAAGAAAGACUCCAGUGAGCCAGCAGAUAGCAGUGAUUGCCCAGGGAGUCAUCUAGACAGUAACCCUCCUCGCGUCUCCCUCACAGCAGCUGAAGCUUUUCAAAGGCCGUGUGUCUGCUUGGAUCACUGCUGUGCGGCAGCCUCAGGACUGUGCCCAGGGGACAGCAGGCCAAAGCCCUGCGGGGGACCAGGGCAGUGGUGACGGGAAUCUUCUCAUGAACUUGCAACUCGGAUCUUGUGGAUGCAUCACUGGCUAAUAGGUGUCUGUGAUGGGCUCACUUGUGCCCCCCAGAAGGCUUGUUGAAGUCUCAGCCAGAUGGGAGCUUCUGGGAGUGGAGUCUGCAGAUCUUCUUCAUGAGAUGAUGGAAUGGAGCAGGUGGGUCCUUAGUCCAGUCUGACGGUGUCCUUAUCCACGCCACCCCCGUGACUGGUGUCCUCCCCCAGGAAGGAAAUCUGGACGCAGACGUGGAUGGGUGCCUUGGAAGACGGAAGCAGAGGUCGGAGUGAUGCUGCCCAGGCCUGGGAGUCCUGGGGCUUCCUGAACUGGAAGCGGCGCGGAGUCUUCUGCCGAGGCUUGGGAGAAAGCGCAGCCCUGCAGACACGGUGAUGGCCUCCUGCACCCACCAAAGGGUUUUGAAGAAAAGGUGGGCCUUCUGUCAGAAUGGGCCUGUGAACCAAGAUUCCUGGGGUAUAGGAGGGCAAGAGAAGGCUGUUUCUUUAUUUGGCCGUGACCCUGACGAUCAGGAAAGGAACCAAUGACUGAGCGCCAUACUAAACAUGCUGCCUGCAAGAAAUUCAUGGCCACCCUGUGUGCCUUUGAGACACUCAGCUCUUGCAAAACCAAGGCUCCUCUGAUUUGCGAUUGGAAAAGCAAAGUGGGACUCACUGCAGACUGCCAAACAACAAACCGUUACUAGCAAGCCGGGUGGAAAAGUAUCCACGUUGGCCAAGCAGCCGGGACUGGGAGCUGUCAGCCUGGGCCUGCAGGACAGAAAUCGUUUCCAUCACGAGUCCUGGCAGCCAAUAGACUUACCGGGACUGGACCAGCUUCUUGCAUGGGGAGAGUGGAGGCUCAUGGGGGAGGCGCCUGUGUGUUGAGAGCCACAGUCUCCGUGUCCUGCCAGCACACGGCAAGGGCAGCGUCCGCCUCUCUACCUGCACUGUUCUGCCCCUCCCUGCCUGUGUGGUGUUCUCUCCAAGAAUAUCUUUUUCUCUUUUCCUGAUUUACUUCACUCUUGCUCAUUCUUCAAGAAUUGGCCAGUUUCCACCAUUACCUUUAAUCUUCCCCUCCAGGGUCAGUGCCUGCCCCUGCCUCUGUCUAGCUCCACUAUGCUGAUGCCUCAUAGCUGGCAGCCUUGGUGUCCCGGGCUUUGCAGGAAGCAGACUUGUGGGCUUGGGGCAUAGCCGGGUGGUAGAGUGCAUGCUUAGCCCAUGUGAGCCCCUGGGUUCGAUUCCCAGCACCGAAGAAAAAAGAAAAAGGAGGGUGGGUUCUUUGCCCUGUGCAGAUCUCCCGGCCCAGAGCGUGGUCUCCCGGCCCCAGGUGGUUUGGGUGCGCUGUGGCUGCAGAAGCCCAGCUGUCACAUCUCUGGGGUGACCUUUGGAGCAGCAGCAUCAGUGGCACCUGGAACAUGUUAGAGGUGCGGGUUUGGGCCCUCCCCCAAAGCGGCCGAAUCUGAGUCCCUGGAAGCUGCCUCCGGUUGGGGACCGCUGCUCUUGUCCUUUGGCUUAGCGUCUGUCAUGGGCCUUCAUUCUGUGGGUGUUUGCUGUCCCCUUCAACAUGGGGGCCUGCCUGCAGAAGCCAUAUCAGUCAAGGUUGAGUGUGUUUCUGGUGCUGAUCCAGCUGUGCGCAUGUGUGACAUGUCCCGUGACCCCCGCACUUGGCCACCUGCAAGGCUCUGAACAAGGAGGUGGGGUGUGGGGAGGGGUCGGCAGCUGGGGGAGGGCCUCCCUGCACCCCUCUCCAGGGCUGAGCUCUUGGGGUGUUACGUGCGCUUCCUCUCUCAAAUGGAGACCGUCAGUACCAUGUGAUUUUGUUAUCUCAGCCUGACUGGAUCCAGAAUUCGGUCUCCCAUAGUUUUAUGUGGUUUUCCUUCCUGGAAAAAAGUCAUUUUUAUUUGCUAUUAAAAUAAAGCUGUGCUGGUGAAUUUC